This 211-nucleotide ribosomal RNA is filed under the name uncultured Anoxybacillus sp. RNAcentral describes it as "partial 16S ribosomal RNA". It matches the Rfam family "Bacterial small subunit ribosomal RNA", at positions 1170 to 1382 of the family's 1533-position model. The record is from RNAcentral. Lineage: Bacteria; Bacillati; Bacillota; Bacilli; Caryophanales; Anoxybacillaceae.
AAGGUGGGGAUGACGUCAAUCAUCAUGCCCUUAUGACCUGGGCUACACACGUGCUACAAUGGGCGGUACAAAGGGUCGCGAACCCGCGAGGGGGAGCCAAUCCCAAAAAGCCGCUCUCAGUUCGGAUUGCAGGCUGCAACUCGCCUGCAUGAAGCCGGAAUCGCUAGUAAUCGCGGAUCAGCAUGCCGCGGUGAAUACGUUCCCGGGCCUU